This is a long non-coding RNA of Meriones unguiculatus (Mongolian gerbil), 2231 nucleotides long. RefSeq lists it as uncharacterized. NCBI's taxonomy places the organism in Eukaryota, Metazoa, Chordata, Mammalia, Rodentia, Muridae. The transcript has 2 exons. The record is from RefSeq and is a predicted model, not a curated record.
ACGCCGCCCGGCCGCCCGGUUUCCAGCAGCUUCCAGCGCCCCCUCCCCACCUCGCGCACUCGCGCGCCCGACAGCCCCGCGGCCCAAUGGCGGCGCGGCGCCCCGACUCCCGCAGCCAAUCGGAGGACGCCGGCCUCGCCGCGCCCCUCCUCCGUGCUGAGGGCUCGGGCGAGGGGCUGAGGCUCAAUCGCCGCUGUCGCCCGAGGGCGACCGAGAGUCGUGCUCCCCCGUGGGGGCGUGUGAGGGCGGCUUCGCCUCCGCCUCUGCUCGCUUCCUUUCUCGGGAAUGGUGGGCGCCGUCCCCACCCCUCACGGGCAGAGACGGUGGACAACAAAGGGGCUCCGGGGUGGCGGCCAGACAAAGAGGGGGGGACUCGGAGGGAUGCAGCGCCGGGGGGGCGGGGGGAAAGUUGGGAACAAAGCUAGGGGGCUGGGAGCGGCAGGGCGACGCGCCUCAAGAACCCCAAAGCAAAAAGUGCCUUUUGUCUCCCGGGCCGCCCAAACUUGCGGGGAGCCGGGGUGGCCCUGCCUCACCCGCCGCCCACCCGGGCCCGACGGGCCGCGCAGCUGGCAGAGUGCGAAACAGGUCGGACCUGGGCAGCGCCCGGAGGGACAGGCUGGGCAGCCAGGGCCGGCGCGAAAGGCCCCGCCUCCUCGAAAGGAAAGGCUGCGGGACAUGAGCCAGGAACUUGGUCUUAUUGCAUAAAGUGACUCGUUCCUCGUGUAAAAUGGAUUCAGCUACUGGUCCCUAGAUACUCUGAAAGAGCACUUAAAAUUGUUCCCUUUGGAGUUGCUUAAGUGUUAUCGGAAGAUAAAUUAGAAGACAAAUAAAUCGACUCAAGUAUGUCUGAUAGAACCCAAAAAGGUAGUGUAUUUCUGUAGUGCUUUUAAGGCCAUGUCUAUCAGAACGAAGCCGAUUCUGGAGAGAACCCAGAAACCAGUGUAUUUCAGUAGUACCUUCAGGGCCAUGCCCUAUCAGAAUGAGGCAGAUACUUGGGAGAGACCGAAACAGGACUAGACUGUCUAGGCUGUGGGGUCACCCGGGCUCCUGGACCAUGCCUAAGCACUCACAGAUACUCGAGGGGUUUGCAGCACAGACCUUGGCACCUGCAGAAGCUUCUGCUGCCCGGAAGUUUGGAGGUGGGUUCCUUUCCUGUGUCAGGAGAGGGGACAUGGGAACAUACCCAACCCUAACCAUCUGCCAGAGCUCGGUCCAGAAUUCUGCAUGGAAACCAGUGUUCACUGAAAGUUUUGAAAGCAUCACUCCAUUUUCUUACAAAUCCCAGAGCUGCUGUUAAAAAUGUCACUUUAGCUGGGCCUUGGAGCCUAUUUGGAAGGCUGAGGCAGGAGAAGCUUGAGUUCUAGGCCAGCCUGGGCUACACAGUAAGAUGCAAGACAAAGAAAUGCUGAACCUCCCAAAGCAAGGGACUGCCGUACCAUCACCUCCCCCACAGGCUGCACCUGCCGUCUACCUCGUCUGCCUCCAGUGUAGCGGCUGUAAUGAUGACGUCUGUCAUCACAUCUUCUGUAAGGAGGUUCGUCGAGGGGGAUGUCUCAGUGGUGAAGAGCACUAUCUGCUCUUCCACAGAAAUAAGGUUUGAACCUCAGCACCCAGUGGUGGCUCACAACCAUCAGGUGCCCUCUUCUAGCCCCUCAGAGCACUGCACGCACCUGAUGCUUGGACAUAUGUGCAGACAAAACCCCCAUAUACAGAGCACCAGCAGACGCUCUUUCAGUUUGACGCUCUGGAAACCAAGCUGCUAAGUGACAUCAGUUACCGCUGGGGUGUCAGCUGCCGAGCCUAAGCAGCAAGAGAAGAUGGAGAAGGUGGUCAGCCUACCAGCCAUGAACUUGGUGAUGUAGGACCCAGUGGUUGUUCUGGAAUCCUCAGCAGCCCUCACUCCCAGAACCACACCCUGCCAAACUGCACAGCCAUGAUAAAGAUCUCUGCUUAGACUUUCCUGUUUUCCCAGUCUGGGUGACAGCCUCCUCCAGCCCUACGCCUGUUCCACCAGCAGCUGCUAAGGUAGCUGCCAUUCUCCUCCAAUGCCACCCACCACAAAGAAGCUUGCAGGAGUCUUAGCUGUACCAUGUUGGAAGUCCUGAAUUGUUCUUAUUUAUUUCCUGUCUCCAUUUUCCAGUGCUUCUCAAUGACUUUCUCAACCUCUCACAACCUUCUCUUAAUUUACAACUGUUCUUCAAAUAUUUCCAUUAAAUUGUUUUUAGACUUGA